UGUGGGAGCGGGCUUGCCCGCGAUAGCGGUGGGUCAGCCAACACAUGUAUCGACUGAUUCAUUGCUAUCGCGGGCAAGCCCGCUCCCACA
Molecule: unclassified non-coding RNA, 90 nt
Filed under: Pseudomonas gessardii
Lineage: Bacteria; Pseudomonadati; Pseudomonadota; Gammaproteobacteria; Pseudomonadales; Pseudomonadaceae
Source: RNAcentral